GACGAACGCUGGCGGCGUGCCUAAUACAUGCAAGUAGAACGCUGAAGAGAGGAGCUUGCUCUUCUUGGAUGAGUUGCGAACGGGUGAGUAACGCGUAGGUAACCUGCCUUGUAGCGGGGGAUAACUAUUGGAAACGAUAGCUAAUACCGCAUAACAAUGGAUGACACAUGUCAUUUAUUUGAAAGGGGCAAUUGCUCCACUACAAGAUGGACCUGCGUUGUAUUAGCUAGUAGGUGAGGUAAUGGCUCACCUAGGCGACGAUACAUAGCCGACCUGAGAGGGUGAGCGGCCACACUGGGACUGAGACACGGCCCAGACUCCUACGGGAGGCAGCAGUAGGGAAUCUUCGGCAAUAGGGGCAACCCUGACCGAGCAACGCCGCGUGAGUGAAGAAGGUUGUCGGAUCGUAAAGCUCUGUUGUAAGUCAAGAACGGGUGUGAGAGUGGAAAGUUCACACUGUGACGGUAGCUUACCAGAAAGGGACGGCUAACUACGUG
This 497-nucleotide ribosomal RNA is filed under the name uncultured bacterium. RNAcentral's name for it is "partial 16S ribosomal RNA". It matches the Rfam family "Bacterial small subunit ribosomal RNA", at positions 28 to 507 of the family's 1533-position model. The record is from RNAcentral.